This is a long non-coding RNA of Pectinophora gossypiella (pink bollworm), 509 nucleotides long. RefSeq lists it as uncharacterized. Lineage: Eukaryota; Metazoa; Arthropoda; Insecta; Lepidoptera; Gelechiidae. The transcript is spliced from 2 exons. The record is from RefSeq and is a predicted model, not a curated record.
UUCUCAAACGGGGACUGCCUGUUCGAACUCCGGUACCGGACUCUGACCUAGGUCUGCCAACCAUUGCCCAAUGGCUCAAAUUAGCUUCCAAACGUUUUUUCGAUUCUGCUCCGCACCACCCAAAUCCCCUGGUAGUUGCGGCUUCCGAAUACAUCCCGCUUAGGGACGGUACUGAAAAGUAUCGGCGUCCGAAGGACGUAAUAUACGAUCCCGACGACCCGAUUACCCUAGCCAUAGAGGCAGCCAAUCAGCUCGCGACACCAAACACUUCAGGACCCCGAUACCGACCCCGCCGGCGUGGUCGACGAUUUCCCUCAUUCAGCGCUUAUCGCUAUCGACCCGCUAGGGUCGAUUAAUUCUUUCAAAUAUUUUUCCUCUCAGACGACGCCCUGAGCCGAGGUUCGCGCCCAACUGGGCACCCUCAGGCCUGUUGUCUUAAACGUUGUACCGGGUGAGAGCCUUCAGCGCUCCCCAUUUGUCCGGCCAAGUAGUUAAUGCCAUCUGCGGCA